CGCGUUUUAUAAGUUGCCAAGGCAUCAAAAUCAUCUUAUAGUUAUUGCCAGUAUAACAAACCCUAGCUCAUUUGCACCAUAACCGUUCAGUCACAAAUGGAGGGUGGGCUGAAGACAUUUUUGGUACAAUUUAUGAUACUGCUCGUAGAGUAAGUGAUGGCAUUGCUGAAGUUUUUGCCCCAGAAGAGGAUCACAAGGGACCGUAUCCUGCAAUAAAUGACGUAGAUCAGAAUGAAACAGAUUAUUUUGAGCUACACGAUCACAAUUCAGAAGAAAAUCCGUUUGAAUCAUCGAUGCCUGAAGUUAGUACUCUACAAGUCACCGAUAGUACAAAUAGUAAUUCAACAACUGAUGCUAUAAAUGAAAGGCGUAGCACCUUUGGUGGUUGCCGGCCUGGGCAAUAUCGAACUAACGACGGUAGAUGCGUGGACAAGUUUUAAACGUUACUUUGGAAAUAUAUAUAUUUUAUGAUUA
This is a long non-coding RNA of Maniola jurtina (meadow brown), 474 nucleotides long. RefSeq lists it as uncharacterized. The record is from RefSeq and is a predicted model, not a curated record. The transcript is spliced from 2 exons. NCBI's taxonomy places the organism in Eukaryota, Metazoa, Arthropoda, Insecta, Lepidoptera, Nymphalidae.